This 252-nucleotide ribosomal RNA is filed under the name uncultured bacterium. RNAcentral describes it as "partial 16S ribosomal RNA". It matches the Rfam family "Bacterial small subunit ribosomal RNA", at positions 524 to 776 of the family's 1533-position model. The record is from RNAcentral.
UACGAAGGGGGCUAGCGUUGUUCGGAUUUACUGGGCGUAAAGCGCACGUAGGCGGAUCGUUAAGUCAGGGGUGAAUCCUGGAGCUCAACUCCAGAACUGCCUUUGAUACUGGCGAUCUUGAGUCCGGAAGAGGUGAGUGGAACUCCUAGUGUAGAGGUGGAAUUCGUAGAUAUUAGGAAGAACACCAGUGGCGAAGGCGGCUCACUGGUCCGGUACUGACGCUGAGGUGCGAAAGCGUGGGGAGCAAACAGG